GCAAGCCUGACGGAGCAACGCCGCGUGAGGGAUGGAGGCCUUUGGGCUGUAAACCUCUUUUCUCAAGGAAGAAGAUCUGACGGUACUUGAGGAAUAAGCCACGGCUAAUUCCGUGCCAGCAGCCGCGGUAAUACGGGAGUGGCAAGCGUUAUCCGGAAUUAUUGGGCGUAAAGCGUCCGCAGGCGGCCGUUUAAGUCUGUUGUUAAAUCGUAGAGCUCAACUCUAUCACGGCAAUGGAAACUGUUCGGCUUGAGUAUGGUAGGGGCAGAGGGAAUUUCCGGUGUAGCGGUGAAAUACGUAGAUAUCGGGAAGAACACCAGUGGCAAAAGCGCUCUGCUGGGCCAUUACUGACGCUCAUGGGCGAAAGCCAGGGGAGCGAAAGGGAUUAGAUACCCCUGUAGUCCUGGCCGUAAACGAUGAACACUAGAUGUUGGGGGAAUCGACCCCCUCAGUGUCGUAGCUAACGCGUUAAGUGUUCCGCCUGGGGAGUACGCACGCAAGUGUGAAACUCAAAGGAAUUGACGGGGGCCCGCACAAGCGGUGGAGUAUGUGGUUUAAUUCGAUGCAACGCGAAGAACCUUACCAAGGCUUGACAUCCUGCGAAUCUCUAAGAAAUUAGAGAGUGCCUUCGGGAACGCAGUGACAGGUGGUGCAUGGCUGUCGUCAGCUCGUGUCGUGAGAUGUUGGGUUAAGUCCCGCAACGAGCGCAACCCACGUUUUUAGUUGCCAGCAUUCAGUUGGGCACUCUAAAGAGACUGCCGGUGACAAACCGGAGGAAGGUGUGGACGACGUCAAGUCAUCAUGCCCCUUACGCCUUGGGCUACACACGUACUACAAUGCUGCGGACAAAGAGUAGCGAUCUUGCGAAAGUUAGCUAAUCUCGUAAACCGUGGCUCAGUUCAGAUCGUAGGCUGCAACUCGCCUACGUGAAGGAGGAAUCGCUAGUAAUCGCAGGUCAGCAUACUGCGGUGAAUACGUUCCCGGGCCUUGUACACACCGCCCGUCACACCAUGGAAGUUGGCC
RNAcentral lists this ribosomal RNA (1023 nucleotides) under uncultured cyanobacterium. RNAcentral describes it as "bacterial SSU rRNA". It matches the Rfam family "Bacterial small subunit ribosomal RNA", at positions 377 to 1416 of the family's 1533-position model. Lineage: Bacteria; Bacillati; Cyanobacteriota. The record is from RNAcentral.